UUUUCUAGUUGUUAAUUUAUGUAACUAGCAAUUCCUUUAUGAUAAAAUCUACCUAUUGCGCAAACUAUAACGUGAAUCCACUUAACUAGUAAGGAAAAAAUCAUUUACAAAACUAUAUAUAUAUAUAUAUAUAUAUAUAUAUAUAUAUACUUCAACUAUUGAAAUCAAGAAGUUACAAUUGGUCAAAUGAUAUGAAAGGGAUUAAUUAGUAGUCUCUUUUGAAAUAGGCCUAUUUUUCUCCAAGUUUGACCAGUGAAUCGAACGGGGAUUCAAGUUUUUCAUUUCAUGAAGUAAAAAUGCGGUUCUUNNN
RNAcentral lists this long non-coding RNA (310 nucleotides) under Nicotiana benthamiana. RNAcentral's name for it is "long non-coding RNA (NBEN_LNC041214)". The record is from RNAcentral. Lineage: Eukaryota; Viridiplantae; Streptophyta; Magnoliopsida; Solanales; Solanaceae.